UACGUAGGGGGCAAGCGUUGUCCGGAAUCAUUGGGCGUAAAGCGAGCGUAGGCGGCCCGAUAAGUCUGCUGUAAAAGUCAACGGCUCAACCGUUGAAAGCCGGUGGAUACUGUCGGGCUAGAGUUCGGAAGAGGCAAGUGGAAUUCCUGGUGUAGCGGUGGAAUGCGCAGAUAUCAGGAGGAACACCUAUAGCGAAGGCAGCUUGCUGGGACGAUACUGACGCUGAGGUGCGAAAGCGUGGGGAGCGAACAGG
RNAcentral lists this ribosomal RNA (253 nucleotides) under uncultured bacterium. RNAcentral's name for it is "partial 16S ribosomal RNA". It matches the Rfam family "Bacterial small subunit ribosomal RNA", at positions 524 to 776 of the family's 1533-position model. The record is from RNAcentral.